GAACUUGUUCCUAAAGUAAGGAUGUCUAGCUGAUAAUUAGAUUAAAGGAGGUUAAAUUCCUCUCAAGUUUU
Molecule: transfer RNA, 71 nt
Filed under: Ophidiaster granifer
Lineage: Eukaryota; Metazoa; Echinodermata; Asteroidea; Valvatida; Ophidiasteridae
Description: tRNA-Ile
Rfam family: tRNA
About the family: Transfer RNA (tRNA) molecules are approximately 80 nucleotides in length.
Source: RNAcentral